UAUCUCUGUAGAGUCUGCAUAUCAAUAAGCGGAGGAAAAGAAACUAACUAGGAUUCCCUCAGUAACGGCGAGUGAAGCGGGAAGAGCUCAAAUUUGAAAUCUUCAAGGUUCUACCUUGACGAAUUGUAGUUUAAAGAAGUGUUUUCUGUUGGAGUUUUGGCUAAAAGUUCUUUGGAAUAGGACAUCAUAGAGGGUGAGAAUCCCGUAUUUGACCAUUAUUUCCAGGCUUUGUGAUACACUUUCAAAGAGUCGGAUUGUUUGGGAAUGCAGUCCAAAAUGGGUGGUAAAUUUCAUCUAAAGCUAAAUAUUGGCGAGAGACCGAUAGCGAACAAGUACCGUGAGGGAAAGAUGAAAAGAACUUUGAAAAGAGAGUUAAACAGUACGUGAAAUUGUCAAAAGGGAAGCGUUUGACACCAGUGUUGUUUUCUCGAAAAUCAAUUAAAAAAGGCAGGAUUUUGUGUUGUAUUGACUUUAUCAGCUUUCUGCACUCUUUUCUUGUCUUUUUUAAUGCACUUUUCGUUUAACAAGUCAACAUCAAUUUCUUUUGUUGUAAAAGGGUCAUUGGAAGGUGGCUUUCUUUUCGGAGAAAGUGUUUAUAGCCUUUGGCCUCUGCAAUCGGAGAGAUUGAGGUCUGCAGCGUAGAUCCUUCGGGGUUAGAUACAUUUGUGCUAAGUUAUAGCCUUUCAUAGACAACUUGUUGACUAUGAUCAGUCAUGUAGCUUACUCGCUUAUGCUAUUUUACCUACGCUUAGGAUGUUGACGAUCAGCUGAGCGCG
RNAcentral lists this ribosomal RNA (776 nucleotides) under uncultured Neocallimastigales. RNAcentral describes it as "partial large subunit ribosomal RNA". It matches the Rfam family "Eukaryotic large subunit ribosomal RNA", at positions 24 to 627 of the family's 3401-position model. The record is from RNAcentral. Lineage: Eukaryota; Fungi; Neocallimastigomycota; Neocallimastigomycetes; Neocallimastigales.